Girardinichthys multiradiatus is the source of this 397-nucleotide long non-coding RNA. RefSeq lists it as uncharacterized. The record is from RefSeq and is a predicted model, not a curated record. Lineage: Eukaryota; Metazoa; Chordata; Actinopteri; Cyprinodontiformes; Goodeidae. The transcript has 2 exons.
UCCAGUUUUUGUCAAAUUUAGCCAUAAAAAGCAGAGAAGCGACGCCGCAAAGACAGAAAUCAAUCACGACGAUCCAAUAAAAUGAAUAAAUGAAGAACAUUAACUGUGAAAAAGUAUUAAUAUUACCUUGUUGGAGGGGCGGGGCGGUAAUGGUAGAUGACCAUAUAAGGACUUCCUUUGGAUCAGCGCGGAGCUCUGGCAAACAUUGAUCCACAGAAGAGGCUUUCUCCAACAGAAAUGAUCCAUUUGAAGCCGAUGAUUCAGAGCUGCUCCUAGAAAGCAGAAACCUGCCUGCAGCAAGAAUAACAAGAGAUGCUGAUAAUAAGUCAAUAAUUCAGAUAUCAAAUGUAAACACUUUGUGUUUUUGUUUUUUAAUAAAUGUUUAGUUUGGAAUAAA